Molecule: ribosomal RNA, 430 nt
Filed under: uncultured bacterium
Lineage: Bacteria
Description: bacterial SSU rRNA
Rfam family: Bacterial small subunit ribosomal RNA
Source: RNAcentral
UAGGGAAUUUUGCGCAAUGGGCGAAAGCCUGACGCAGCAACGCCGCGUGGAGGAUGAAGGUCUUCGGAUCGUAAACUUCUGUUGAUUGAGAAGAAAGAACUGGAGUUAAUAGCUUCGGGAGAUGACGUUAUCAGUCGAGAAAGCCCCGGCUAACUUCGUGCCAGCAGCCGCGGUAAUACGAAGGGGGCGAGCGUUAUUCGGAAUGAUUGGGUGUAAAGGGUGCGUAGGCGGUUUAGUAAGUCUAUUGUUUAAUCUUCCGGCCUAACCGGAAGCAUGCAAUGGAUACUGCUAUGACUUGAGCAUGAGAGAGAGAAGUGGAAUUCUCGGAGUAGCGGUAAAAUGCGUAGAUCUCGAGAGGAACGCCAAUGGCGAAGGCAGCUUCUUGGAUCAUUGCUGACGCUGAUGCACGAAGGCGUGGGGAGCAAACAGG